This 229-nucleotide ribosomal RNA is filed under the name uncultured bacterium. RNAcentral's name for it is "partial 16S ribosomal RNA". It matches the Rfam family "Bacterial small subunit ribosomal RNA", at positions 568 to 796 of the family's 1533-position model. The record is from RNAcentral.
UCCGUAGGUGGAUAAUUAAGUCAGAGGUGAAAUCCUGCAGCUCAACUGUAGAAUUGCCUUUGAUACUGGUUACCUUGAGUUAUUAUGAAGUAGUUAGAAUAUGUAGUGUAGCGGUGAAAUGCAUAGAUAUUACAUAGAAUACCAAUUGCGAAGGCAGAUUACUAAUAAUCAACUGACACUGAUGGACGAAAGCGUGGGGAGCGAACAGGAUUAGAUACCCUGGUAGUCC